GACUCCGUGGCGUAAUGGUAGCGCGUCUGACUCCAGAUCAAAAGGUUGCGUGUUCAAAUCACGUCGGGGUCA
RNAcentral lists this transfer RNA (72 nucleotides) under Nematostella vectensis (starlet sea anemone). It matches the Rfam family "tRNA". Rfam says of the family: Transfer RNA (tRNA) molecules are approximately 80 nucleotides in length. Their secondary structure includes four short double-helical elements and three loops (D, anti-codon, and T loops). The record is from Rfam by way of RNAcentral. Lineage: Eukaryota; Metazoa; Cnidaria; Anthozoa; Actiniaria; Edwardsiidae.